RNAcentral lists this unclassified non-coding RNA (355 nucleotides) under Hevea brasiliensis (rubber tree). The record is from RNAcentral. Lineage: Eukaryota; Viridiplantae; Streptophyta; Magnoliopsida; Malpighiales; Euphorbiaceae.
GAGAUUUGAUGGUUUUGAAUUGAUUGGCGAAAAGUGACUUUCGAGGAAGCAGCGAACGGGCGAAGGAAGAAGAGAAUCUGGGCAACGUGUAGUGGUAGGUGCAAUGGUAUCAUGUGAUCCUAUGAUCAUCGGCCACGUGGUAUUUAUGACCAUAUAAUUUAUAUAUAUAUAUAUUUUAAAUUAUUGGACCAGUGCAACGUGCACUGCAGCGAUUCCUGACCUCGACGCUCCAGUCUUUGUUUUCUAGCUUCAAAAAACGACAUUUUCUUUGAAUGUGUCGUUGUCGUUUACAUAUCAUUGCUGCUGAAUCAUCAGUUUUCGAAAUUAAAAUACAAAACUACUUGUCGGUUUCCAU